AUUGAACGCUGGCGGCAUGCCUUACACAUGCAAGUCGAACGGCAGCGGGGGAGAAGCUUGCUUUUCCUGCCGGCGAGUGGCGAACGGGUGAGUAAUACAUCGGAACGUGCCCUGUAGUGGGGGAUAACUAGUCGAAAGAUUAGCUAAUACCGCAUACGACCUGAGGGUGAAAGUGGGGGACCGCAAGGCCUCAUGCUAUAGGAGCGGCCGAUGUCUGAUUAGUUAGUUGGUGGGGUAAAGGCCUAACAAGGCGACGAUCAGUAGCUGGUCUGAGAGGACGAUCAGCCACACUGGGACUGAGACACGGCCCAGACUCCUACGGGAGGCAGCAGUGGGGAAUUUUGGACAAUGGGCGAAAGCCUGAUCCAGCAAUGCCGCGUGUGUGAAGAAGGCCUUCGGGUUGUAAAGCACUUUUGUCCGGAAAGAAAUGGCUCUGGUUAAUACCUGGGGUCGAUGACGGUACCGGAAGAAUAAGGACCGGCUAACUACGUGCCAGCAGCCGCGGUAA
This 508-nucleotide ribosomal RNA is filed under the name uncultured bacterium. RNAcentral describes it as "partial 16S ribosomal RNA". It matches the Rfam family "Bacterial small subunit ribosomal RNA", at positions 30 to 523 of the family's 1533-position model. The record is from RNAcentral.